GCACUAAAACCCUGUGUUAACGUACCUUUGUUGCUUUGGCAGGCCGCGGCCUCCGCUACGGGCUCACGCUCGUGUGCGCCUGCCAGAGGACCCCAACUCUUGUUUUUAGUGAUGUCUGAGUACUAUUAAAUAGUUAAAACUUUCAACAACGGAUCUCUUGGUUCUGGCAUCGAUGAAGAACGCAGCGAAAUGCGAUAAGUAAUGUGAAUUGCAGAAUUCAGUGAAUCAUCGAAUCUUUGAACGCACAUUGCGCCCGCUGGUAUUCCGGCGGGCAUGCCUGUUCGAGCGUCAUUAUGACCAACUCACGCUCCGCGUGGUCUUGGGGUCCGCUGCCUCGGCGGCCCCUAAACGCAGUGGCGGUGCCGUGCGGCUCUCAGCGUAGUAAUACUUCUCGCUACAGGGUCCGGACGGUGCUGGCCAGCAACCCCAACUUCUUUAGGUUGACCUCGGAUCAGGUAGGGAUACCCGCUGAACUUAAGCAUAUCAUA
Molecule: ribosomal RNA, 488 nt
Filed under: Ascomycota sp. 106
Lineage: Eukaryota; Fungi; Ascomycota
Description: eukaryotic LSU rRNA
Rfam family: 5.8S ribosomal RNA (bases 138-291)
Source: RNAcentral